UACGUAGGGUGCAAGCGUUGUCCGGAAUUAUUGGGCGUAAAGAGCUCGUAGGCGGUCUGUUGCGUCGGCUGUGAAAACCCAGGGCUCAACCCUGGGCCUGCAGCCGAUACGAGCAGACUAGAGUUCGGCAGGGGAGACUGGAAUUCCUGGUGUAGCGGUGAAAUGCGCAGAUAUCAGGAGGAACACCGGUGGCGAAGGCGGGUCUCUGGGCCGAUACUGACGCUGAGGAGCGAAAGCGUGGGAAGCGAACAGG
RNAcentral lists this ribosomal RNA (253 nucleotides) under uncultured bacterium. RNAcentral's name for it is "partial 16S ribosomal RNA". It matches the Rfam family "Bacterial small subunit ribosomal RNA", at positions 524 to 776 of the family's 1533-position model. The record is from RNAcentral.